This 97-nucleotide ribosomal RNA is filed under the name Pseudomonas veronii. Its description in RNAcentral is "partial 23S ribosomal RNA". The stretch from base 1 to 80 matches the Rfam family "Bacterial large subunit ribosomal RNA", at positions 2846 to 2925 of the family's 2925-position model. Lineage: Bacteria; Pseudomonadati; Pseudomonadota; Gammaproteobacteria; Pseudomonadales; Pseudomonadaceae. The record is from RNAcentral. RNAcentral also lists the same sequence under 3 other names.
UACGACGUUGAUAGGUUGGGUGUGUAAGCGCUGUGAGGCGUUGAGCUAACCAAUACUAAUUGCCCGUGAGGCUUGACCAUAUAACACCCAAGCAAUU